CUGCACUCUCUCCUUAAUCCCUAUAUAUAUUUACACAAAUGGAGGUCAUUUAGUUGCUCCAAUGGCCAUUGGAGCAACUAAAUGACCUCCAUUUGUCUAAAUAUAUAUAGGGAUUGAGGAGAGAGCACAGGU
This is a non-coding RNA of Pelobates cultripes (western spadefoot toad), 132 nucleotides long. Lineage: Eukaryota; Metazoa; Chordata; Amphibia; Anura; Pelobatidae. The record is from the annotation of a GenBank genome assembly.